CCUGCCCCUGACUCUGGGAUAAGCGUUGGCCACGACGUCUAAUACUGGAUAUGACUGCCGGCCGCAUGGUCUGGUGGUGGAAAGAUUUUUUGGUUGGGGAUGGACUCGCGGCCUAUCAGCUUGUUGGUGAGGUAAUGGCUCACCAAGGCGACGACGGGUAGCCGGCCUGAGAGGGUGACCGGCCACACUGGGACUGAGACACGGCCCAGACUCCUACGGGAGGCAGCAGUGGGGAAUAUUGCACAAUGGGCGAAAGCCUGAUGCAGCAACGCCGCGUGAGGGAUGACGGCCUUCGGGUUGUAAACCUCUUUUAGUAGGGAAGAAGCGUAAGUGACGGUACCUGCAGAAAAAGCACCGGUUUUCUACGUGCCAGCAGCCGCGGUAAUAC
Molecule: ribosomal RNA, 388 nt
Filed under: Curtobacterium sp.
Lineage: Bacteria; Bacillati; Actinomycetota; Actinomycetes; Micrococcales; Microbacteriaceae
Description: bacterial SSU rRNA
Rfam family: Bacterial small subunit ribosomal RNA
Source: RNAcentral